Molecule: transfer RNA, 72 nt
Filed under: Bos taurus (domestic cattle)
Lineage: Eukaryota; Metazoa; Chordata; Mammalia; Artiodactyla; Bovidae
Also listed under: 5 other names
Rfam family: tRNA
About the family: Transfer RNA (tRNA) molecules are approximately 80 nucleotides in length. Their secondary structure includes four short double-helical elements and three loops (D, anti-codon, and T loops). Further hydrogen bonds mediate the characteristic L-shaped molecular structure. tRNAs have two regions of fundamental functional importance: the anti-codon, which is responsible for specific mRNA codon recognition, and the 3' end, to which the tRNAs corresponding amino acid is attached (by aminoacyl-tRNA synthetases). tRNAs cope with the degeneracy of the genetic code in two manners: having more than one tRNA (with a specific anti-codon) for a particular amino acid; and 'wobble' base-pairing, i.e. permitting non-standard base-pairing at the 3rd anti-codon position.
Source: Rfam by way of RNAcentral
UAUUAGCUCACUCAGACAGUAAAGAAUCUGCCUGCAAUGCAGAAGACCCAGGUUUGAUCCCUGGGCUGGGAA